Molecule: ribosomal RNA, 492 nt
Filed under: uncultured bacterium
Lineage: Bacteria
Description: partial 16S ribosomal RNA
Rfam family: Bacterial small subunit ribosomal RNA
Source: RNAcentral
AGUGAACGCUGGCGGUAGGCCUAACACAUGCAAGUCGAACGGCAGCACAGUAAGAGCUUGCUCUUACGGGUGGCGAGUGGCGGACGGGUGAGGAAUACAUCGGAAUCUACUUUUUCGUGGGGGAUAACGUAGGGAAACUUACGCUAAUACCGCAUACGACCUACGGGUGAAAGCAGGGGAUCUUCGGACCUUGCGCGAUUGAAUGAGCCGAUGUCGGAUUAGCUAGUUGGCGGGGGAAAGGCCCACCAAGGCGACGAUCCGUAGCUGGUCUGAGAGGAUGGUCAGCCACACUGGAACUGAGACACGGUCCAGACUCCUACGGGAAGCAGCAGUGGGGAAUAUUGGACAAUGGGCGCAAGCCUGAUCCAGCCAUACCGCGUGGGUGAAGAAGGCCUUCGGGUUGUAAAGCCCUUUUGUUGGGAAAGAAAAGCAGCAGGUUAAUACCCCGCUGUUCUGACGGUACCCAAAGAAUAAGCACCGGCUAACUUCGUG